CAGAACUUAGAAAUGUUCAGUAGCUUGCCUUGGGCCUCCCAAGUCCCUGGUGCACAAGGAUUCAAACCCAGGUCUGUUGGAAGCCAAGAUCCCUAGUAAAUUCCUGGGAGGCAGAAAUAAAUAGGAAAUGUAAAGGAACUGUCGUUUGGGACCUCCUGGGAUAAAUUCUUACUUCUAUAUGUCUUCCUUUCCAUCUCCACCUUCCCUGCUUGAUUUUACAGAAGGGAGUAUUUCUUCAGGCAAAAUACACUCUCUUCUGGCCUAUGAAAGAGAAAGAGAAUGGAAAGACAGCUCAUGUUUUCCUUCAGGGCAAGGAAUAAAAAUAAUAAUAGGUUUCCAGCGUGGUGGCUACCAGCAAAAUCCGAGGAUGGACAUAAAGAAUAAAAAGAAGACAAUACAAGAUUCCAGGUUGAGAAAGAUGCGGAGAACAGACACAAAACCAGGAAGGAAAACAGGAGAUUGUUAAUGAUCACCAAGAUUCUUAAAAGAAGCAAGAGUUCUUACUAAUUCAUCUAGACUCUGUUAGAAAUCUUCCAAGAGGCGACCUAACGGCAGAGCAAGUGUGUGUGUCCGGGAAGCGGGGGCCCUUCUGCUCCCACAGUGUGGGGUUACCAAGAGACACCUAUGUUUGUCCACAGACCGGUUUUGCCACUUGUACUUGUUUUCCUUAUUAUGUAAACCAGUGAAAUAUGAGUGAGAAAAAGAAUCAUAAGAGCCAAACCGAAUGCUUUUAAUAAAUAGUAGAGGGGAAAGUAGCUUUACUGCUGG
Molecule: long non-coding RNA, 768 nt
Filed under: Vulpes vulpes (red fox)
Lineage: Eukaryota; Metazoa; Chordata; Mammalia; Carnivora; Canidae
Description: lncRNA (ENSVVUG00000017937.1)
Source: RNAcentral